AUUGAACGCUGGCGGCAUGCCUUACACAUGCAAGUCGAACGGUAACGCGGGGCAACCUGGCGACGAGUGGCGUACGGUUGAGUAAUGCAUCGGUACGUGCCCAGAAGUUGGGUUUAUCCCGGCUUAAGCCGGAUUAAUACCUCAUGAGACCUGAGUGUGAAAGCGGUGGAUCGCAAGACCUCGCUCUUUUGUUUCUGCCGAUGUCAGAUUAGCUAGUUGGUGGGGUAAAGGCCUACCAAGGCGACGAUCUGUAGCUGGUCUGAGAGGACGACCAGCCACACUGGGAGUGAGACACGGAAAAGACGACGACGGGAGGAAGCAGAGGGGAAUUUUGGACAAUGGGCGAAAGCAUGAAAAAGCAAGGCCGAGUGAGGGAAGAAGGAGUGAGGGUUGUAAACAGAUUUUGUCAGGGAAGAAAAGAUGUGGGAUAAUAACAUGGGGUAAUGACGGUAACGGAAGAAUAAGCAACGGCUAACUACGUG
This 482-nucleotide ribosomal RNA is filed under the name uncultured bacterium. RNAcentral describes it as "partial 16S ribosomal RNA". It matches the Rfam family "Bacterial small subunit ribosomal RNA", at positions 29 to 507 of the family's 1533-position model. The record is from RNAcentral.